Molecule: long non-coding RNA, 731 nt
Organism: Hyla sarda
Lineage: Eukaryota; Metazoa; Chordata; Amphibia; Anura; Hylidae
Exons: 6
Source: RefSeq, a predicted model, not a curated record
CGCUGAACCGGAAGUACAAUGACGCCCUCCACCGGAAGUGACUUUACCUUCCUGUGAGUUGUUGCUAGGUGACGGUGUCAUGCAGUAAUGUCGUCUCUGUUUGAUGAUGUAGUUUGCAAGGGAGCUGCUGGACUACUUAGUUGUGCAAACACUUGUGGAUCUGUGACAACUACCCUUACUUGUGACCGGUCUGGGUUGGUGGCAGCCGCCAUACAGCACUACAAAUACUGCAUGCGCUAGUAGCUGUAGAGUCCUUAGCCCAACCCCAUAAGCUAUAAUAUCCUGCGCCGUGUGCCGGGCCCCUCCUUUAUGUUUAUUACUGGUCCCAGGAACAAGGGGCGAAGAUUUCACAAGUGUCGUGUGGAGGGGAACGAUCCUAGCCAGCUAGCAUGGAGAAUAUGAUAGAGCAAUACAGAGCAGUGCUUCUAAAAGCAGCAUGGAGGACAUGAUAGAGCAGUAUUGAGCAUUCUUCUUUUUACCUCUGCAUUCUUCAUAGACUUUUAUGGGAAGUAUGGAAAACAUCAUAGAGCAGUGCUAAGCAGUGUAAGCAGUUAAUCCAGGAUUGGAGGAAGAUAUAACACUUACUAGAACUUUAAACCACUUCUAUAUAUCUCCAUACUUGUUUCACGCUGCAGCUAGGCUCUCUUCCUUCUUCCAACUUCAUAGACUUUUUGGGCUACUGUAAUCUGAUCCCUCAGUAAUCCAUCAGGAGCAGGGUUUUAGCAGUUUUU